RNAcentral lists this ribosomal RNA (728 nucleotides) under uncultured Acidobacteriota bacterium. RNAcentral describes it as "bacterial SSU rRNA". It matches the Rfam family "Bacterial small subunit ribosomal RNA", at positions 8 to 715 of the family's 1533-position model. The record is from RNAcentral. Lineage: Bacteria; Pseudomonadati; Acidobacteriota.
AGAGUUUGAUCCUGGCUCAGAAUCAACGCUGGCGGCGUGCCUAACACAUGCAAGUCGAACGCGAAAGCCCCGCAAGGGGUAAGUAGAGUGGCAAACGGGUGAGUAACACGUGGGUGACCUGCCUUCGAGUGGGGGAUAACGUCCCGAAAGGGACGCUAAUACCGCAUAACAUCCUGCGUUUGGAAACGUGGAGAUCAAAGCCGGGGAUCGCAAGACCUGGCGCUUGAAGAGGGGCCCGCGCCUGAUUAGCUAGUUGGUAGGGUAACGGCCUACCAAGGCAACGAUCAGUAUCCGGCCUGAGAGGGCGGACGGACACACUGGGACUGAGACACGGCCCAGACUCCUACGGGAGGCAGCAGUGGGGAAUUGUUCGCAAUGGGCGCAAGCCUGACGACGCAACGCCGCGUGGAGGACGAAGAUCUUCGGGUCGUAAACUCCUGUCGAGCGGGAAAAACGCUUCGGAACCCAAUAUGUUCCGGAAUUGAUGGUACCGCUAAAGGAAGCCCCGGCUAACUCCGUGCCAGCAGCCGCGGUAAUACGGGGGGGGCAAGCGUUGUUCGGAAUUACUGGGCGUAAAGGGCUCGUAGGCGGCCAACUAAGUCGGAUGUGAAAUCCCCAGGCUCAACUUGGGAACUGCAUCCGAUACUGGAUGGCUUGAAUCCGGGAGAGGGAUGCAGAAUUCCAGGUGUAGCGGUGAAAUGCGUAGAUAUCUGGAGGAAUACCGGUGG